Molecule: ribosomal RNA, 253 nt
Filed under: uncultured bacterium
Lineage: Bacteria
Description: partial 16S ribosomal RNA
Rfam family: Bacterial small subunit ribosomal RNA
Source: RNAcentral
UACGUAGGUGACAAGCGUUGUCCGGAUUUACUGGGCGUAAAGAGCGCGCAGGCGGUCGUUCAAGUCGAGUGUGAAAGCCCCCGGCUCAACUGGGGAGGGUCACUCGAUACUGAUCGACUUGAAGGCAGGAGAGGGAAGCGGAAUUCCCGGUGUAGUGGUGAAAUGCGUAGAUAUCGGGAGGAACACCAGUGGCGAAGGCGGCUUCCUGGCCUGCUCUUGACGCUGAGGCGCGAAAGCUAGGGUAGCAAACGGG